Molecule: ribosomal RNA, 253 nt
Filed under: uncultured bacterium
Lineage: Bacteria
Description: partial 16S ribosomal RNA
Rfam family: Bacterial small subunit ribosomal RNA
Source: RNAcentral
UACGGAGGGUGCAAGCGUUAUCCGGAUUUAUUGGGUUUAAAGGGUCCGCAGGCGGAUCUGUAAGUCAGUGGUGAAAGCCUUCAGCUUAACUGGAGAAUUGCCAUUGAUACUGCUGAUCUUGAGUUCGGUUGAAGUGGGCGGAAUAUGUAGUGUAGCGGUGAAAUGCAUAGAUAUUACAUAGAACACCUAUUGCGAAGGCAGCUCACUAAGCCGAUACUGACGCUCAGGGACGAAAGCGUGGGGAGCGAACAGG